Molecule: small nuclear RNA, 108 nt
Filed under: Catagonus wagneri (Chacoan peccary)
Lineage: Eukaryota; Metazoa; Chordata; Mammalia; Artiodactyla; Tayassuidae
Source: RNAcentral
GUCCUCUUUUUUAGCAGCACAUACAUUAAAACUGGAAAGAUACAAAGGAGAUUAGUGUGGCCCCUGCACAAGGACAACACUCAAAUUCAUGAGGUGUUCCAGAUUUUU